CCUCUCCAUUCAUUCCACACAUAAGCCCUCCCCGCGCCUGUCGCCGUGACUUUUACACCGACCUCUGCAUACACGCAUCCACUUUUCACCUUGCACAGCUCACGGCGCUUUCUCAUUCUGCCCCCGCCCCCUCUCCCUUAUUCGAUUCAGCGCACGCUUAGUGGAUCGACCACCUCCCCCUUUCCUCCGAGCCCGAUAUAGAUCAAGGCGUUUUCGCUACUUUUCUCUGCGCCACCUGCUCUAGCCCUUGAGCUCUUCGAUCGUGUGUGGCAUAUCUGUCGUCUUGGCCUUGCACAUAUUCGCGCCUAUUCGCAAAUCCAAACGAAGCACACAUACACAGACAGACAGACACCCCCCCCUUUUCCGCCCUCCUACGCCACCUCACUCCUCUUCCUCCUCCUCCCCCUCCCCCUACGCGCACGCACGUGAUCAUACUUUACGCCGUCAGUCUUAUUUGGGUCUUUUUUCUCUCUCUCACCUCUGUUUUUUUUUUUUGUUCGCGCGUUUGCUUAUUGGAAGACGAGUGCUUUGUUUUAGGAGCGGUGAAGAUGCUGCGCAACCUCGUCCGCUACGUGGGCCUCGUCCUCGUGCUGCUGUUCUUCAUUGCCAGCGGCAUUGAAAAAUUGGCGGCGCCGUCAGUGGGCGCGGCUUUCCUUGCGAAGAGCAACUUUCCUCGUAUGUUGGCUAAAAUGGGCGUCAAGCUCUCGCCGUCGGAAUACAUCCACGUCGUUCGCACCGCGGGUGUAAUGUGUGUGUCUUUCUCGCUUUUUAUUUUGCUUGGAGUUGGCCGUAGCUUCUUCUCCUUUCUGAUGGCGACUGGAAUGAUCAUCACCACGGUUGCAUUCUACGUGGACCUUGACUACCCGUUUGAAACUCCAGAAGAGAAUGUUCAGCACAUUCUUAAAAAUGCGUCCCUCGUUGGCGCGCUGCUGUUUGUGACGGGUAGUGGCCACCGAAGCCGUCGGUACAACCAAGCCCGUGUGGCGAGCGACAGCAAUCGGGCAAAGAAGAACAAUUGAGUUGAGGGUCGCGCGCGUCUUCACGGCCACGAAAAAAAAAGGAAAAGGGCUGCGCCUCUCUGUGUGUGUGUUUGUGUGUCGAGGAAGGAGAAUGACCCCUUUGCUGGGUCUGGUGCACUCGUAAGCGGAUUCUUCGGCAAGUAAAGUACUGCAGACCUCCUCUUUUUCUCUCUUGCUGUUGUUACUUUUCGGUUGGUUCUCCGUUGAUCACCCCUGUUUCUUUUUUCUUCGUUUGUCCUGCGCACAUACUACGGCGCGUGGCGUGUACACCUCUCUCCCGGCCAGUGUAUGUGCAUGCACGUCUGUGCGCACGUGCCUAGGUCUGCGCAACAGCGGGCUGUGUCGACUCCUCCUUUCCUUUGCUGUGGGCUCCUUUCAAACCUCCUUUCCUCUGUUGCGCACUUCCUCGUUUUUUUGUGUAGGGCACGCUUCUCCUUCCACACACACUCACAUACACACACAUACAUACAUAUAUAUUUCGGUGUAGGUGCGCGCGGGAUACUUGUGUGUCCAUCUCGGGGAGUGCCUUCAGUGUUAUCGACCAAAAAGAAAGAGUGGCCAGUAACGGUGGGACUGGCCCGGGGCUCUGACGGAACAAAGUGGCGGUGGCGCCGAGUGAUGGCCAUGCUAUUGGCGCCACAUCGUUCUCACCUCGCUGGCGCGCCGUUUCGUGGGUAGUGUCUUUUUUUUUAUUAUUCAAUUGUUCUCUGACACUGACUUGCCCAGGUACUAGACAGG
RNAcentral lists this unclassified non-coding RNA (1757 nucleotides) under Leishmania donovani. Its description in RNAcentral is "gene:LdHU3.34.3220(CDS-product:hypothetical_prote in_conserved)". Lineage: Eukaryota; Euglenozoa; Kinetoplastea; Trypanosomatida; Trypanosomatidae. The record is from RNAcentral.